GUCUUUUUGAUUAUAAUUUAAAGUCUAACCUGCCCUAUGAUUAUUUAAAUGGCCGCGGUAUUUUGACCGUGCAAAGGUAGCAUAAUCAUUAGUUUUUUAAUUGAAAGCUGGAAUGAAUGGUUGAACGAGAAAAUUACUGUCUCAAUUUAAAUUAUAUUAUAAUUUUAUUUUUAAGUUAAAAAGCUUAAAUAAUUUUAAAAGACGAGAAGACCCUAUAGAGUUUUAUAUUAAUAUAAAUAUGUAUAUACUUAUAAUUUUUAUUAUUUAUUUUAAUAUUUUAUUGGGGUGAUAAAUAAAUUAAUCAAACUUUAUUUUUUUUUUUAACAUAAAUUUAUGAUUUGAUGAUCCAUUAAUAAUGAUUAUAAGAUUAAAUUACCUUAGGGAUAACAGCGUUAUCUUUUUAGAGAGUUCUAAUCGAAAAAAAGGAUUGCGACCUCGAUGUUGGAUUAAAAUUAAUUUUUGGUGUAGAAGCUAAAAAUCUUAAGUCUGUUCGACUUUUAAAAUUUUACAUGAUCUGAGUUUAAACCGGUGUGAGCCAGGUUGGUUUCUAUCUUUAAAUUAAUUAAAUAUUUUAGUACGAAAGGACCAAAUAUUUAUAAUAUUUAUUAAUAUUUAUGAAUUU
RNAcentral lists this ribosomal RNA (622 nucleotides) under Ochthebius difficilis. RNAcentral describes it as "partial 16S ribosomal RNA". It matches the Rfam family "Bacterial large subunit ribosomal RNA", at positions 1819 to 2728 of the family's 2925-position model. Lineage: Eukaryota; Metazoa; Arthropoda; Insecta; Coleoptera; Hydraenidae. The record is from RNAcentral.